CAGUCGUACCGGCGGAUAAUCAGCCUUUUGGGUGUGAUUUUGUGGAGCGUGAGGAGUUAAACGCCUUCACGCCUGCAUAUUCGUGCACUUUGGGUGUACUUGCCCGUAUGGUUGGUUAACAUCAAUUUUGGUGGUCAUAAAAUGGCUGGAGGAAUGUAGCUUCGAUCUCGUAUUGAAGUGUUAUAGCCUUCGGUAGAUGUGAUGAUCGAGAUUGAG
RNAcentral lists this ribosomal RNA (216 nucleotides) under Rhizophagus irregularis. Lineage: Eukaryota; Fungi; Glomeromycota; Glomeromycetes; Glomerales; Glomeraceae. The record is from RNAcentral.